RNAcentral lists this small RNA (562 nucleotides) under Pan troglodytes (chimpanzee). RNAcentral describes it as "processed transcript". Lineage: Eukaryota; Metazoa; Chordata; Mammalia; Primates; Hominidae. The record is from RNAcentral.
GGCUCAGAUUCAGGUUAAAUUGCGGAUUGAGCUCGCAGUUACAGACAGCUGACCAUGGAAGCGAAUGGGUUGGGCCUCCAGCGUAGCAUACUGACACCUACCCCCACCCCCACCUGAUCGCCAGACCUCAGGGUUUUCCGGAGCUGAAGAAUGACACAUUCCUGCGAGCAGCCUGGGGAGAGGAAACAGACUACACUCCCGUUUGGUGCAUGCGCCAGGCAGGCCGUUACUUACCAGAGUUUAGGGAAACCCGGGCUGCCCAGGACUUUUUCAGCACGUGUCGCUCUCCUGAGGCCUGCUGUGAACUGACUCUGCAGGUGAGGGGUCCACAAAAGAGGGAAAGAUUUAUGCCUUCAGUCUGCCACCUAGCAACCUGUCUCCUGUUUCCUACAGCCACUGCGUCGAUUCCCUCUGGAUGCUGCCAUCAUUUUCUCCGACAUCCUUGUUGUACCCCAGGUACCCACUCAAACCUGAUCCUAGAAUAUAAUCCAAGGACGCCUUGAAAAUCCUUCUAUCAGUCCAGUCAAGGUUUACAAUAAGCACUUAUCCUAACUGGAUCGAG